GUGUUGGAUGAAAGGGAGAGACUAGCACUGCCCUUGACAAGGAUGGGGGAGGCCCUUGGACCUAACAACACGCACACGGUUAAGGCAUUGCCACUAUUUCGUGGCAUCUAACCAGAAGGAAAAUUUU
Small nuclear RNA from Peromyscus eremicus (cactus mouse), 127 nucleotides. The record is from RefSeq and is a predicted model, not a curated record. NCBI's taxonomy places the organism in Eukaryota, Metazoa, Chordata, Mammalia, Rodentia, Cricetidae.